AAAUGUAAAAUAUUUUGAUUUCUGGACUGACUUGCUUUGCUAUUCAGUGUUGCUUGUUAUCCUCAAUUGUGCAGUGUUUUUAUUGCCAUCCUCUUUGUUUGCAAACUGUUGCUUCGAUCCGUGCAAGAGCACAGAAGCCGCUCUGCACACCACCUUCCUCCCAUGAG
Non-coding RNA from Notechis scutatus (mainland tiger snake), 167 nucleotides. The record is from RefSeq and is a predicted model, not a curated record. Lineage: Eukaryota; Metazoa; Chordata; Lepidosauria; Squamata; Elapidae.